Molecule: unclassified non-coding RNA, 200 nt
Filed under: Ascomycota sp.
Lineage: Eukaryota; Fungi; Ascomycota
Description: partial internal transcribed spacer 2
Source: RNAcentral
UUAAGUUCAGCGGGUAUUCCUACCUGAUCCGAGGUCAACCUUUGGUGGAUGGGUGCGAGGCCAGCCCACGCCGGACGCCCAAAGCGAGAGUAAGUACUGCGCUCGGAGACCGGGUCGUGUCCGCCACUGGAUUUGGGCGCUGCAGACGCAGGGCGCCAACACCAAGCCGGGGCUUGAGGGUUGAAAUGACGCUCGAACAG